CUUAUAUACUAAUAACCUAUAUCUUUCCCUCCAGCAUUUUAUGUCUAUCUUCAUUAUUUAAACAGGGGCAUGUCUGAACCGCUCUGCGACUCCACCCUCAUCGUGUGAUGGGAGAGGCUACGUGAUGACUGUUACAGGGCGUUGCUGAAGUCUUAAAAGCUGCUGGAAGUGAGUUUGCGUCCAAUUCGUAAGUUUUGAGACAGGACUCAGGCCAGGUUUUAUCCUAUACGACUGCAUCGGCAAGAUCAUGUUGAAUUAAACAAUUCCCUUCCAAAAGCUCGUAUUUAAUAUCAAAUUGUUCCUUGGUUGGAAAAAAUUAUUUAAACACAUUUCUUUAUUUAAUUUCAGGA
Molecule: long non-coding RNA, 350 nt
Organism: Amblyraja radiata (thorny skate)
Lineage: Eukaryota; Metazoa; Chordata; Chondrichthyes; Rajiformes; Rajidae
Exons: 3
Source: RefSeq, a predicted model, not a curated record